AGCAUAUCAAUAAGCGGAGGAAAAGAAACCAACAGGGAUUGCCUUAGUAACGGCGAGUGAAGCGGCAAUAGCUCAAAUUUGAAAGCUGGCCCCUUCGGGGUCCGCGUUGUAAUUUGUAGAGGAUGAUUCGGCGAGGGCUCCCGUCUAAGUCCCUUGGAACAGGGCGUCAUAGAGGGUGAGAAUCCCGUAUGUGAUGGGCUGCCUUAGCCAUGUGAAUCUCCUUCGACGAGUCGAGUUGUUUGGGAAUGCAGCUCUAAAUGGGAGGUAAAUUUCUUCUAAAGCUAAAUACCGGCCAGAGACCGAUAGCGCACAAGUAGAGUGAUCGAAAGAUGAAAAGCACUUUGGAAAGAGAGUUAAAAAGUACGUGAAAUUGUUGAAAGGGAAGCGCUUGCAGCCAGACUUGUCCGCAGUUGCUCAGCUUGUCUCCUGACAGGCGUACUCUUCUGCGGCCAGGCCAGCAUCAGUUCGGGCGGUCGGAUAAAGGCCCGGGGAAUGUAGCUCCUCUCGGGGAGUGUUAUAGCCCCGGGUGCAAUGCGGCCAGCCUGGACUGAGGAUCUCGCUUCGGCUAGGAUGCUGGCGUAAUGGCUGUAAGCGGCCCGUCUUGAAACACGGACCAAGGAGUCUAACAUCUAUGCGAGUGUUUGGGUGUCAAACCCAUGCGCGUAAUGAAAGUGAACGGAGGUGGGAACCCUCACGGGUGCACCAUCGACCGAUCCUGAUGUCUUCGGAUGGAUUUGAGUAAGAGCAUAGCUGUUGGGACCCGAAAGAUGGUGAACUAUGCCUGAAUAGGGUGAAGCCAGAGGAAACUCUGGUGGAGGCUCGCAGCGGUUCUGACGUGCAAAUCGAUCGUCAAAUUUGGGUAUAGGGGCGAAAGACUAAUCGAACCAUC
This 889-nucleotide ribosomal RNA is filed under the name Neofusicoccum mangiferae. RNAcentral describes it as "LSU rRNA". It matches the Rfam family "Eukaryotic large subunit ribosomal RNA", at positions 37 to 944 of the family's 3401-position model. The record is from RNAcentral. Lineage: Eukaryota; Fungi; Ascomycota; Dothideomycetes; Botryosphaeriales; Botryosphaeriaceae.